RNAcentral lists this long non-coding RNA (773 nucleotides) under Calidris pygmaea (Spoon-billed sandpiper). RNAcentral describes it as "lncRNA (ENSCPGG00000001248.1)". The record is from RNAcentral. Lineage: Eukaryota; Metazoa; Chordata; Aves; Charadriiformes; Scolopacidae.
GCACGUCACACACUUUCCUGCAAAUCUCUCAGACUGAAAGAUUUCACAAGGUUUGAAGUAGUGCGAGUAGUGAGUAACAACCAGCUGGUACACACCACCCAGCGACCCGCGACCACGGUGGUGCGUAAACGGGCGGCUGGGAGUUGAUAGGCUGUAAAAAGUUCUAUUUUCCUGCUGUACAAAGUAGCACGAAACUUCUUGCCAGCGAAGGAGAAGCCUUACUGCGUAGGAGCAGACUAGAGGUUUAAUCCAAGAAAGGGAUCCAAGACAAGGAAAUAAAUGGAGUACCGUUGUUUUACAGCCCAGAAAGAAGAUAGGGAUCAAGAGUCCAACCUUGUUGGUGAAAAACGUAAGCCAAGGGAGAGGACAGGCGAGGAGGAGAGGCCGCCGCAGCGAUACUCUGGGCAGGUUGUUAAGUGCAUAAAAUAAACAAACGCUUUCAGUCUCGCCUCUGUUGGUGCACUUUGAGGUGUAGCAGGUAGGAGCAGGACGUGGCUGGUGAUUGCGUGCCGCUGGCAGCGGGUCCACAUGACUCAGAUGUGUGCACAAGGGCAGUCCCUUCCCAGUGCCACCCGAAGACACCCGUGUGGGCGUAGUCACAGCAGGAAAACUGCCCUGUCACUGUGAAAUCCCGGCGUAGGCUUGGGUGCCAAGGGGGGGCUGGUUUGCGUGGCACCCGGUGUAACGACGUUGUCUGCCAGUCCCAGCAUACAAUGGGUCUAAAUUACAUGCUUCGCUGGAACUGGAUUUUCUAUUUCUGUGACAACAUUGCC